RNAcentral lists this ribosomal RNA (549 nucleotides) under uncultured bacterium. Its description in RNAcentral is "bacterial SSU rRNA". It matches the Rfam family "Bacterial small subunit ribosomal RNA", at positions 353 to 902 of the family's 1533-position model. The record is from RNAcentral.
AGUAAGGAAUAUUGGUCAAUGGACGCAAGUCUGAACCAGCCAUGCCGCGUGGAGGAUUAAGGCCCUCUGGGUUGUAAACUCCUUUUAUCUGGGAAGAAAUGCAUUUUUUCUAAAAUGCUUGACGGUACCAGAGGAAUAAGCACCGGCUAACUCCGUGCCAGCAGCCGCGGUAAUACGGAGGGUGCAAGCGUUAUCCGGAUUCACUGGGUUUAAAGGGUGCGUAGGCGGGCAGGUAAGUCCGUGGUGAAAUCUCUGAGCUUAACUCAGAAACUGCCAUGGAUACUAUUUGUCUUGAAUAUUGUGGAGGUAAGCGGAAUAUGUCAUGUAGCGGUGAAAUGCUUAGAUAUGACAUAGAACACCAAUUGCGAAGGCAGCUUACUACACAGUUAUUGACGCUGAGGCACGAAAGCGUGGGGAUCAAACAGGAUUAGAUACCCUGGUAGUCCACGCCCUAAACGAUGAUUACUCGACAUCAGCGAUACACUGUUGGUGUCUGAGCGAAAGCAUUAAGUAAUCCACCUGGGAAGUACGAUCGCAAGAUUGAAACUC